This 363-nucleotide ribosomal RNA is filed under the name uncultured bacterium. Its description in RNAcentral is "bacterial SSU rRNA". It matches the Rfam family "Bacterial small subunit ribosomal RNA", at positions 28 to 389 of the family's 1533-position model. The record is from RNAcentral.
GACGAACGCUGGCGGCGUGCUUAACACAUGCAAGUCGAGCGGUAAGGCCCUUUCGGGGGUACGACGAGCGGCGAACGGGUGAGUAGCACGUGGGUGACCUGCCCUUACGCUCUGGGAUAAGCCUGGGAAACGUGGGUCUAAUACCGGAUAUGACUCCAUGACGCAUGUUGUGGGGUGGAAAGCCUUGUGCGGCUAGGGAUGGGCCCGCGGCCUAUCAGCCUGUUGGUGGGGUGANGGCCUACCAAGGCGACGACGGGUAGCCGGCCUGAGAGGGCGACCGGCCACACUGGGACUGAGACACGGCCCAGACUCCUACGGGAGGCAGCAGUGGGGAAUCUUGCGCAAUGGGCGAAAGCCUGACGC